GUCUAUGGCCCUGCCACCCUAAAUAUGCCGGAUCUCGUCUGAUCUCAGAAGCUAAGCAGGGUCGGGCCUAGUUAGUACUUGGAUGGGAGACCGCCUAGGAAGACCAGGUGCUGUAGGCG
This 119-nucleotide ribosomal RNA is filed under the name Pteropus alecto (black flying fox). Lineage: Eukaryota; Metazoa; Chordata; Mammalia; Chiroptera; Pteropodidae. The record is from RNAcentral.